Molecule: small nucleolar RNA, 107 nt
Organism: Arachis duranensis
Lineage: Eukaryota; Viridiplantae; Streptophyta; Magnoliopsida; Fabales; Fabaceae
Source: RefSeq, a predicted model, not a curated record
AUCAUAUCAGGAGGGCAUCUUCUGAUCAGCUACUUGUAGCUCUUCCAAGCUUCAAAGAAGGAUUCUCCCUCUUUCUGUCUAAAAGCCUGGACUUCUACCCUAAUCUU